UGUUGUCGAUUUUUAUUCAUUUUUUAAUCUAUUUAUUUUUGUUUUUCAAUCAAAAUAAUUGUUGGAAUUAAUUAGAAUUUUCUAUGUUAUCAUUUAAAUUUAAUUUCAAUUAUGUAGAAUGUUUUAAUUGUUUCUAACUCAUUUUGUAUCUAAAAUAACUUUAAAGAUACUAAUGGCACCUAAGAAACUUUCGAAGCCCAAAUUUCCAUUUUUUGUAUAUAUGUGGAAGGUUGGUGAACGAGAGGAAGAUGACUA
Molecule: long non-coding RNA, 255 nt
Filed under: Lathyrus oleraceus (garden pea)
Lineage: Eukaryota; Viridiplantae; Streptophyta; Magnoliopsida; Fabales; Fabaceae
Description: Pisum sativum (pea) long non-coding RNA (PSAT_LNC009792)
Source: RNAcentral